Molecule: long non-coding RNA, 466 nt
Organism: Micropterus salmoides (largemouth bass)
Lineage: Eukaryota; Metazoa; Chordata; Actinopteri; Centrarchiformes; Centrarchidae
Exons: 3
Source: RefSeq, a predicted model, not a curated record
GCACGAGCAGCGCAUGCUCCUGGGUCCAGUCUGAUAGAGACGAGAUGGCGGCAGCAGCGUCUAAGAGGAUGAGCGUCCGACAGAGAGUUCCUGCUAAGAGCGACCGGGACCGGACCAGCCAGGAAGUCAGCACCGGGAAUGAAGUGAUGCAGUCCUGAAAAUCAAGCUCUUCACAGUCCUCCCAAAGCACACUCUGUACUGCCCUCCCUUUCCAGGACGUCCUCUCCAUAUUUGGUCCAGUCCAGUCAGUAUCUCUGAACCUACAAUGAAUCACUCUGAGAACUUGGCCGGAAAAGUAGUUUAGUGCACAUUCCAACGAGAUCGCUUCAUCCUGUUCCUCACAUGUUGGCCAGAGUCCAAGGAAACCCAACCUAACAGAAAAACAUCUGGUUUCUAGUUUUUCAGAAAAACAGAGAGGAAGAGAUGGACUUAAACAACACCACUGUGACAAAUCCUUCAGAACAUC